Molecule: ribosomal RNA, 1221 nt
Filed under: Bassianus sydneyanus
Lineage: Eukaryota; Metazoa; Arthropoda; Insecta; Coleoptera; Tenebrionidae
Description: SSU rRNA
Rfam family: Eukaryotic small subunit ribosomal RNA
Source: RNAcentral
UUGUCUCAAAGAUUAAGCCAUGCAUGUCUCAGUACAAGCCGAAUUAAGGUGAAACCGCGAAAGGCUCAUUAAAUCAGUUAUGGUUCCUUAGAUCGUACCCACAUUUACUUGGAUAACUGUGGUAAUUCUAGAGCUAAUACAUGCAAACAGAGCUCCGACCGGAGACGGAAGGAGCGCUUUUAUUAGAUCAAAACCAAUCGGUGGCGAUUUCCGUCGUCAUCGUACAACUUGGUGACUCUGAAUAACUUUACGCUGAUCGCACGGUCUCGCACCGGCGACGCAUCUUUCAAAUGUCUGCCUUAUCAACUGUCGAUGGUAGGUUCUGCGCCUACCAUGGUUGUAACGGGUAACGGGGAAUCAGGGUUCGAUUCCGGAGAGGGAGCCUGAGAAACGGCUACCACAUCCAAGGAAGGCAGCAGGCGCGCAAAUUACCCACUCCCGGCACGGGGAGGUAGUGACGAAAAAUAACGAUACGGGACUCAUCCGAGGCCCCGUAAUCGGAAUGAGUACACUCUAAACCCUUUAACGAGGAUCAAUUGGAGGGCAAGUCUGGUGCCAGCAGCCGCGGUAAUUCCAGCUCCAAUAGCGUAUAUUAAAGUUGUUGCGGUUAAAAAGCUCGUAGUCGAAUCUGUGUCCCGCGCCGCCGGUUCAUCGUUCGCGGUGUUAACUGGCGUGUCGCGGGACGUCCUGCCGGUGGGCUUAGCUCGAAAGGGCGGCCCGACUCAAUCCCGCCGCGGUGCUCUUCAUUGAGUGUCGAGGUGGGCCGGCACGUUUACUUUGAACAAAUUAGAGUGCUUAAAGCAGGCUAAAACUUCGCCUGAAUACUGUGUGCAUGGAAUAAUGGAAUAGGACCUCGGUUCUAUUUUGUUGGUUUUCGGAACCCCGAGGUAAUGAUUAAUAGGAACGGAUGGGGGCAUUCGUAUUGCGACGUUAGAGGUGAAAUUCUUGGAUCGUCGCAAGACGGACAGAAGCGAAAGCAUUUGCCAAAAACGCUUUCAUUGAUCAAGAACGAAAGUUAGAGGUUCGAAGGCGAUCAGAUACCGCCCUAGUUCUAACCAUAAACGAUGCCAGCUAGCGAUCCGCCGACGUUCCUCCGAUGACUCGGCGGGCAGCUUCCGGGAAACCAAAGCUUUUGGGUUCCGGGGGAAGUAUGGUUGCAAAGCUGAAACUUAAAGGAAUUGACGGAAGGGCACCACCAGGAGUGGAGCCUGCGGCUUAAUU